UACGAGGGGGGCAAGCGUUGUUCGGAAUUAUUGGGCGUAAAGGGCGCGUAGGCGGCGCGGUAUGUCUCUUGUGAAAUCUCCAGGCUCAACUUGGAGUCUGCAAGGGAAACUGCCGUGCUUGAGUACUGGAGAGGUGAGUGGAAUUCCCGGUGUAGCGGUGAAAUGCGCAGAUAUCAGGAGGAACACCGGUGGCGAAGGCGGGUCUCUGGGCCGAUACUGACACUGAGGAGCGAAAGCGUGGGGAGCGAACAGG
RNAcentral lists this ribosomal RNA (253 nucleotides) under uncultured bacterium. RNAcentral describes it as "partial 16S ribosomal RNA". It matches the Rfam family "Bacterial small subunit ribosomal RNA", at positions 524 to 776 of the family's 1533-position model. The record is from RNAcentral.